RNAcentral lists this ribosomal RNA (496 nucleotides) under uncultured bacterium. RNAcentral's name for it is "partial 16S ribosomal RNA". It matches the Rfam family "Bacterial small subunit ribosomal RNA", at positions 30 to 523 of the family's 1533-position model. The record is from RNAcentral.
AUUGAACGCUGGCGGAAUGCUUUACACAUGCAAGUCGAACGGUAGAGGGGGCAACCCCUCGAGAGUGGCGAACGGGUGAGUAAUAUAUCGGAACGUGCCCAGUCGUGGGGGAUAACGUAGCGAAAGUUACGCUAAUACCGCAUACGAUCUAAGGAUGAAAGCGGGGGAUCGCAAGACCUCGCGCGAUUGGAGCGGCCGAUAUCAGAUUAGGUAGUCGGUGGGGUAAAGGCUCACCAAGCCAACGAUCUGUAGCUGGUCUGAGAGGACGACCAGCCACACUGGAACUGGGACACGGUCCAGCCUCCUACGGGAGGCAGCAGUGGGGAAUUUUGGACAAUGGACGCAAGUCUGAUCCAGCCAUUCCGCGUGCAGGAUGAAGGCCCUCGGGUUGUAAACUGCUUUUGUACGGAACGAAAAGGUCUCUCUUAAUACGGGGGACUCAUGACGGUACCGUAAGAAUAAGCACCGGCUAACUACGUGCCAGCAGCCGCCGUAA